RNAcentral lists this ribosomal RNA (1413 nucleotides) under Bacillus thuringiensis. Its description in RNAcentral is "bacterial SSU rRNA". It matches the Rfam family "Bacterial small subunit ribosomal RNA", at positions 57 to 1407 of the family's 1533-position model. Lineage: Bacteria; Bacillati; Bacillota; Bacilli; Caryophanales; Bacillaceae. The record is from RNAcentral.
GCAGUCGUACGUCAGUGACUGUAGUCGACGUAGUACGUCGUACUGACACGGGUGAGUAACACGUGGGUAACCUGCCCAUAAGACUGGGAUAACUCCGGGAAACCGGGGCUAAUACCGGAUAACAUUUUGAACCGCAUGGUUCGAAAUUGAAAGGCGGCUUCGGCUGUCACUUAUGGAUGGACCCGCGUCGCAUUAGCUAGUUGGUGAGGUAACGGCUCACCAAGGCAACGAUGCGUAGCCGACCUGAGAGGGUGAUCGGCCACACUGGGACUGAGACACGGCCCAGACUCCUACGGGAGGCAGCAGUAGGGAAUCUUCCGCACAAUGGACGAAAGUCUGACGGAGCAACGCCGCGUGAGUGAUGAAGGCUUUCGGGUCGUAAAACUCUGUUGUUAGGGAAGAACAAGCAUGCUAGUUGAAUAAGCUGGCACCUUGACGGUACCUAACCAGAAAGCCACGGCUAACUACGUGCCAGCACAGCCGCGGUAAUACGUAGGUGGCAAGCGUUAUCCGGAAUUAUUGGGCGUAAAGCGCGCGCACAGGUGGUUUCUCAUAAGUCUGAUGUGAAAGCCCACGGCUCAACCGUGGAGGGUCAUUGGAAACUGGGAGACCAUUGAGUGCAGAACAGAGGAAAGUGGAAUUCCAUGUGUAGCGGUGAAAUGCGUAGAGAUAUGGAGGAACACCAACGUGGCGAAGGCGCACUUUCUGGUCUGUAACUGACACUGAGGCGCGAAAGCGUGGGGAGCAAACAGGAUUAGACAUACCCUGGUAGCAUCCACGCCGUAAACGAUGAGUGCUAAGUGUUAGAGGGUUUCCGCCCUUUAGUGCUGAACAGUUAACGCAUUACAAGCACUCCGCCUGGGGAGUACGGCCGCAAGGCUGAAACUCAAAGGAAUUGACGGGGGCCACCGCACAAGCGGUGCAGAGCAUGUGGUUUAAUUCGAAGCAACGCGAAGAACCUUACCAGGUCUUGACAUCCUCUGACAACCCUACAGAGAUAGGGCUUCUCCUUCGGGAGCAGAGUGACAGGUGGUGCAUGGUUGUCGUCAGCUCACGUGUCGUGAGACAUGUUGGGUUAAGUCCCGCAACGAGCGCAACCCUUGAUCUUAGUUGCCAUCAUUAAGUUCAGGGCACUCUAAGACGUGACUGCCGGUGACAAACCGGAGGAAGGUGGGGAUGACGUCAAAUCAUCAUGCCCCUCAUAUGACCUGACGGCUACACACGUGCUACAAUGGACGGUACAAAGAGCUGCAAGACCGCGAGGUGGAGCUACAAUCUCAUACAAACCGUUCUCAGUUCGGAUUGUAGGCUGCAACUCGCCUACAUGAAGCUGGAAUCGCUAAGUAAUCGCGGAUCAGCAUGCCGCGGUGAAUACAGUACGUACGUACGUGUACUACGUACGUCGCAGUACGU